CACGUAGGCACCAAGCGUUGUCCGGAUUUAUUGGGCGUAAAGAGCUCGUAGGCGGUUCAGUAAGUCGGGUGUGAAAACUUUGGGCUUAACCCAAAGCGUGCAUCCGAUACUGCUGUGACUUGAGUUCGGUAGGGGAGUGGGGAAUUCCUAGUGUAGCGGUGAAAUGCGUAGAUAUCUGGAGGAACACCGGUGGCGAAGGCGGUAUCCUGGACCGGCAUUGACGCUGAGGCGCGAAAGCCAGGGGAGCAAACGGG
Molecule: ribosomal RNA, 254 nt
Filed under: uncultured bacterium
Lineage: Bacteria
Description: partial 16S ribosomal RNA
Rfam family: Bacterial small subunit ribosomal RNA
Source: RNAcentral